Molecule: ribosomal RNA, 253 nt
Filed under: uncultured bacterium
Lineage: Bacteria
Description: partial 16S ribosomal RNA
Rfam family: Bacterial small subunit ribosomal RNA
Source: RNAcentral
UACGGAGGGUGCAAACGUUGCUCGGAAUCAUUGGGCGUAAAGCGCGCGUAGGCGGCUUUGCAAGUCGGGUGUGAAAUCCCCAGGCUUAACCUGGGAACUGCAUUCGAGACUGCAUUGCUAGAGUAUGGGAGAGGGAAGUGGAAUUUCCGGUGUAGCGGUGAAAUGCGUAGAUAUCGGAAGGAACAUCAGUGGCGAAAGCGACUUCCUGGACCAAUACUGACGCUCAUGUGCGAAAGCGUGGGGAGCAAACAGG